Molecule: ribosomal RNA, 813 nt
Filed under: uncultured Lysobacteraceae bacterium
Lineage: Bacteria; Pseudomonadati; Pseudomonadota; Gammaproteobacteria; Lysobacterales; Lysobacteraceae
Description: bacterial SSU rRNA
Rfam family: Bacterial small subunit ribosomal RNA
Source: RNAcentral
GGCAGCACAGCAGUAGCAAUACUGUGGGUGGCGAGCGGCGGACGGGUGAGGAACACAUCGGAAUCUACCCUGUCGUGGGGGACAACGUAGGGAAACUUACGCUAAUACCGCAUACGACCUUUGGGUGAAAGUGGGGGACCCGCAAGGGCCUCACGCGAUUGGAUGAGCCGAUGUCCGAUUAGCUAGUUGGCGGGGUAAUGGCCCACCAAGGCGACGAUCGGUAGCUGGUCUGAGAGGACGACCAGCCACACUGGAACUGAGACACGGUCCAGACUCCUACGGGAGGCAGCAGUGGGGAAUAUUGGACAAUGGGGGCAACCCUGAUCCAGCCAUGCCGCGUGGGUGAAGAAGGCCUUCGGGUUGUAAAGCCCUUUUGUACGGGAAGAAAAGCUUCCGGUGAAUAUCCGGGAGUCAUGACGGUACCGUAAGAAUAAGCACCGGCUAACUUCGUGCCAGCAGCCGCGGUAAUACGAAGGGUGCAAGCGUUACUCGGAAUUACUGGGCGUAAAGCGUGCGUAGGUGGUGAGUUAAGUCUGAUGUGAAAUCCCCGGGCUCAACCUGGGAAUGGCAUUGGAUACUGGCUCGCUAGAGUGCGGUAGAGGGUGGUGGAAUUCCCGGUGUAGCAGUGAAAUGCGUAGAGAUCGGGAGGAACAUCUGUGGCGAAGGCGGCCACCUGGACCAACACUGACACUGAGGCACGAAAGCGUGGGGAGCAAACAGGAUUAGAUACCCUGGUAGUCCACGCCCUAAACGAUGCGAACUGGAUGUUGGGUGCAACUUGGCACUCAGUAUCGAAGCUAACGCGUUAAGUUC